Molecule: unclassified non-coding RNA, 335 nt
Filed under: soil metagenome
Description: partial contains 5.8S ribosomal RNA, internal transcribed spacer 2, and large subunit ribosomal RNA
Rfam family: 5.8S ribosomal RNA (bases 1-120)
Source: RNAcentral
GAUGAAGAACGUAGCGAAAUGCGAUAAGUAAUGUGAAUUGCAGAAUUCAGUGAAUCAUCGAAUCUUUGAACGCACAUUGCGCCCGCCAGUAUUCUGGCGGGCAUGCCUGUUCGAGCGUCAUUUCAACCAUCAAGCCCCAGGCUUGUGUUGGGGACCUGCGGCUGCCGCAGGCCCUGAAAACCAGUGGCGGGCUCGCUGUCACACCGGGCGUAGUAGAUUUUAUCUCGCUCAGGGCGUGCUGCGGGUUCCGGCCGUUAAAAAGCCUUUUUUACCCAAGGUUGACCUCGGAUCAGGUAGGAAGACCCGCUGAACUUAAGCAUAUCAAAAGCGGAGGA